UAAUACCUACGGGACGCAGCAGUGGGGAAUAUUGGACAAUGGGGGGAACCCUGAUCCAGCGACGCCGCGUGAGUGAAGAAGUAUUUCGGUAUGUAAAGCUCUAUCAGCAGGGAAGAAAAUGACGGUACCUGACUAAGAAGCCCUGGCUAACUACGUGCCAGCAGCCGCGGUAAUACGUAGGGGGCAAGCGUUAUCCGGAUUUACUGGGUGUAAAGGGAGCGUAGACGGCUGUGCAAGUCUGGAGUGAAAGGCGGGGGCCCAACCCCCGGACUGCUCUGGAAACUGUAUGGCUGGAGUGCAGGAGG
Molecule: ribosomal RNA, 305 nt
Filed under: uncultured bacterium
Lineage: Bacteria
Description: bacterial SSU rRNA
Rfam family: Bacterial small subunit ribosomal RNA
Source: RNAcentral